RNAcentral lists this long non-coding RNA (568 nucleotides) under Fukomys damarensis (Damara mole-rat). Its description in RNAcentral is "lncRNA (ENSFDAG00000029033.1)". The record is from RNAcentral. Lineage: Eukaryota; Metazoa; Chordata; Mammalia; Rodentia; Bathyergidae.
AAAAAAUGCAAGGGCAUUUGUCAAAGGAGGGGUUCAUUUAACUCUUUGGACAUCUUCUGUCUUUCCUGGUCUUUGAAGGGUGCGCUGAGUGCUCCAUACUCCACCACGGGGCUGCUCGCCAGGGCUCAGCUGAAGCGAUGCCUUCUCAGAGAUGCUUUCCCUGACCAUCUGUGUUCUCAACCAUGCCACAGCUGCCACCGAGGCAUUAUCAGGGUCUGGAAGUACACAGAAACCUAGGUUUUGUCACUACGUGGCAGUCGGCAUGGAAAUCUGUCAUCUCUUCCCUCUGGAAGACCUUCGCAAAGAACGACCAUCUUGGAAGGAGCUUGGUUCUGGGCAGCCCUCUCUGGAGAAAACCAAGUCUGAAGUACAAGAGUGUAAACAACAUUACAUCCCACAGGGUCUGAGGUGACCCGAAUUAGUUCCAAAGUGAGUCUACAACAGCAGCAACAUCAUUAGUGUGUGUGUGUGUGUGUGUGUGUGUGUGUGUGUGCGUGCCCAUGUCUAAGUGUAAUUGUAGUGUAUAAUUAAUGCAGAGCUAAAAUUAAACUCCUGGGUGAAAAGAGAC